RNAcentral lists this long non-coding RNA (176 nucleotides) under Sinocyclocheilus grahami. RNAcentral's name for it is "lncRNA (ENSSGRG00000047532.1)". Lineage: Eukaryota; Metazoa; Chordata; Actinopteri; Cypriniformes; Cyprinidae. The record is from RNAcentral.
CAUCGUCAUAAUUGUGUGUGCUGUUCUCAUCGUUCUUGGCCUAGUAUUUUUUCUGGUCUGGAGAAAGUGUUCCUUUUCUGAACGUCCGCUGCCCAGAUCUUUGGCUUUACUUCGAGACCUGGAACUUCAGAAUGAGACUUUCAUUGACUCCAGUAAGGUUGCACCACACAACAAGA